AUGCCGCACCUCUCACCGCCGCCGCCAUCCCUUAUCUGCAAGAGGAACGGAGAGAAAAAGAGUCCCUUAGGCAGGAAGUCCUUCCAUUGUGGGUUUCAAGAUAGGAGUCUAGCACAGCUGUCCUCUGAGAGGCAGCUGACUCAGACAGAUGCAUAGACCUACAGCCAAACAGUGGAUGGAGCUUGGGGGACUCUUACGGAAGAAUAAGACGAAGGAUUGUGGGCCCUGAAGGAGCUAGGAACCAACAGAGUAAAAUAACCUGGACUCUUACGGCUCUCAGAAGACUGAACCAUCAACCAAAGAGCUUACCCAGGCUGGCCCUGGGCCUUUCUGCACAUAUAUAACAGAUGAGCAGCUUAGUCUUCAUGUAGACCAAAACAACUGGGGCAGGGGGCUGUUGCCUGUAUAUAAGAUGUGUCCUUCUAGCUGACUGUCUUUUCUAGCCUCAGUGGGAGAGGAAGCACCUAGCUUUGCGGAGACUCGGUGUGCAAGGGUGUGGGAGCGGCACACAGAGGACUCCCACCUGCUCAGAGGAGAAAGGGGUGAGGAUUGUGGGAGAGGGUGGUCGGGAGUGGGGGGCGGUGAGGUGCACAUAAAGUGAAAGUAAAAACAAAACAAAACAAAAAACAAUUUAAAGGUGUCUGGAUUUUCCUGUACACAAAACUGUGUCACACGCC
This 677-nucleotide long non-coding RNA is filed under the name Mus pahari (shrew mouse). RNAcentral's name for it is "lncRNA (MGP_PahariEiJ_G0004539.1)". Lineage: Eukaryota; Metazoa; Chordata; Mammalia; Rodentia; Muridae. The record is from RNAcentral.